Molecule: ribosomal RNA, 477 nt
Filed under: uncultured bacterium
Lineage: Bacteria
Description: bacterial SSU rRNA
Rfam family: Bacterial small subunit ribosomal RNA
Source: RNAcentral
AGAGUUUGAUCAUGGYUCAGAAUCAACGCUGGCGGCGUGCCUAACACAUGCAAGUCGNACGAGAAAGGGGAGCAAUCCAUGAGUAAAGUGGCGCACGGGUGAGUAACACGUGACUAACCUACCCUCGAGUGGGGAAUAACCUGGGGAAACCNGGGCUAAUACCGCAUAACACCUACGGGUCAAAGGAGCAAUKCGCUUGAGGAGGGGGUCGCGGCAGAUUAGUUAGUUGGCGGGGUAAUGGCCCACCAAGACGAUGAUCUGUAUCCGGCCUGAGAGGGCGCACGGACACACUGGAACUGAAACACGGUCCAGACUCCUACGGGAGGCAGCAGUGGGGAAUUUUGCGCAAUGGGGGAAACCCUGACGCAGCAACGCCGCGUGGAGGAUGAAGUCCCUUGGGNCGUAAACUCCUUUCGACCGGGACGAUUAUGACGGUACCGGAAGAAGAAGCCCCGGCUAACUUCGUGCCAGCCGCCG